GAGUUUGAUCAUGGCUCAGAUUGAACGCUGGCGGCAUGCCUUACACAUGCAAGUCGAGCGGCAGCGCGGGGGCAACCCUGGCGGCGAGCGGCGAACGGGUGAGUAAUACAUCGGAACGUGUCCUGUCGUGGGGGAUAACCAGUCGAAAGAUUGGCUAAUACCGCAUGACCUCGUAAGAGAAAAGCGGGGGACCGUAAGGCCUCGCGCGACUGGAGCGGCCGAUGUCGGAUUAGCUAGUUGGCGGGGUAAAAGCCCACCAAGGCGACGAUCCGUAGCUGGUUUGAGAGAACGACCAGCCACACUGGGACUGAGACACGGCCCAGACUCCUACGGGAGGCAGCAGUGGGGAAUUUUGGACAAUGGGGGCAACCCUGAUCCAGCCAUGCCGCGUGUGUGAAGAAGGCCUCGGUUGUAAG
This 416-nucleotide ribosomal RNA is filed under the name uncultured beta proteobacterium. RNAcentral describes it as "bacterial SSU rRNA". It matches the Rfam family "Bacterial small subunit ribosomal RNA", at positions 9 to 429 of the family's 1533-position model. The record is from RNAcentral. Lineage: Bacteria; Pseudomonadati; Pseudomonadota; Betaproteobacteria.